Passer domesticus (house sparrow) is the source of this 829-nucleotide long non-coding RNA. RefSeq lists it as uncharacterized. The transcript is spliced from 3 exons. The record is from RefSeq and is a predicted model, not a curated record. NCBI's taxonomy places the organism in Eukaryota, Metazoa, Chordata, Aves, Passeriformes, Passeridae.
UGUCCCUGUGUGCAGAGGUCAGAGCAGGCCCAGGCUCUGCCCCAGGCCCAACAGUGGCCCCAGAGCCACGGGCAGGGCUGAGCCCAGCAGUUGCCCUGGCACAGGAGGCAGAGCUUCUGCCCUGGGCAGUGCCCAGCCCUGAGCAGACUGUGCAGAGAGGCUCUGGACUCUCCUCUCUGGGGAUAUUCCAGAGCCAUUGGGACACAAUCCUGUGCUCUGGGAUGUCCCUGCUGGAGCAGGGAGGUGGCUCCAGAGGAGCCCCUGAGGUCCCUUCCUGGGACUGAAGCAUGAAUCUGAAAUUCCCAGCGCAGUAGUGCUGCAGGGCAGGGAGGAGAGAUUGUGGAUUUUGCUGCAGGCCAGCUUGCUGAGUGCCCAGACACCCAGGAACUCACAGCAGCUCCCAGGAAGAUGCAGUGAAGCUCUGGAAUCACCAUAUUUUCUGGAUAUUCCAGGAUUUUAUGAUAAUUAACUGAUACUUGAGAUGAAGAUUUGGCCACGCCUGAGCCCCUCUGAUUUAACCAGGCGGGCAAGAAGAGGAGUCUGAAACCUGUGAGCUGUGGGUAACUGCAAAAUUUGUGCAUAUAAACACAAAUGGAACAAACCAGAGCAUUGGGGCAACUUCAGCAGGAACCCACAGCAAAGACCCCGGGGCUUCUCUUUGAUUUCUCUUUCAUUUUUCCCUGAUCCACUCUCAGGCCUUUAAAUUUCUGCUACACGUCAAGGAGAAACUUGUGUUCCUGGCCUUGCUCAAACGGGUUAUUUCUGCCUCAUCCCAUCUCAGUCACUUAUUGUCAUAUAAUUCACAAUAAAGCUCAAGCUGGAAAAUGGA